This 21-nucleotide microRNA is filed under the name Gossypium raimondii (Peruvian cotton). RNAcentral's name for it is "gra-miR7504i". The record is from miRBase by way of RNAcentral. Lineage: Eukaryota; Viridiplantae; Streptophyta; Magnoliopsida; Malvales; Malvaceae.
AUAUGAAACUGAGAUACCAUG